AGUGAACGCUGGCGGUAGGCCUAACACAUGCAAGUCGAACGGCAGCACAGGAGAGCUUGCUCUCUAGGUGGCGAGUGGCGGACGGGUGAGGAAUACAUCGGAAUCUGCCCAGUCGUGGGGGAUAACGUAGGGAAACUUACGCUAAUACCGCAUACGACCUUCGGGUGAAAGAGGGGGAUCGCAAGACCUCUCGCGAUUGGAUGAGCCGAUGUCGGAUUAGCUAGUUAGCGGGGUAAUGGCCCACCAAGGCGACGAUCCGUAGCUGGUCUGAGAGGAUGAUCAGCCACACUGGAACUGAGAUACGGUCCAGACUCCUACGGGAGGCAGCAGUGGGGAAUAUUGGACAAUGGGCGCAAGCCUGAUCCAGCCAUACCGCGUGGGUGAAGAAGGCCUUCGGGUUGUAAAGCCCUUUUGUUGGGAAAGAAAUCUUUCAGGCUAAUACCCUGGGAGGAUGACGGUACCCAAAGAAUAAGCACCGGCUAACUUCGUG
RNAcentral lists this ribosomal RNA (490 nucleotides) under uncultured bacterium. RNAcentral's name for it is "partial 16S ribosomal RNA". It matches the Rfam family "Bacterial small subunit ribosomal RNA", at positions 29 to 507 of the family's 1533-position model. The record is from RNAcentral.